RNAcentral lists this ribosomal RNA (506 nucleotides) under uncultured bacterium. Its description in RNAcentral is "partial 16S ribosomal RNA". It matches the Rfam family "Bacterial small subunit ribosomal RNA", at positions 29 to 523 of the family's 1533-position model. The record is from RNAcentral.
AGUGAACGCUGGCGGUAGGCCUAACACAUGCAAGUCGAACGGCAGCACAGGAGAGCUUGCUCUCUGGGUGGCGAGUGGCGGACGGGUGAGGAAUACAUCGGAAUCUACCUUUUCGUGGGGGAUAACGUAGGGAAACUUACGCUAAUACCGCAUACGACCUUCGGGUGAGAGCAGGGGACCUUCGGGCCUUGCGCGGAUAGAUGAGCCGAUGUCGGAUUAGCUAGUUGGCGGGGUAAAGGCUCACCAAGGCGACGAUCCGUAGCUGGUCUGAGAGGAUGAUCAGCCACACUGGAACUGAGACACGGUCCAGAAGCCUACGGGAGGCAGCAGUGGGGAAUAUUGGACAAUGGGCGCAAGCCUGAUCCAGCCAUACCGCGUGGGUGAAGAAGGCCUUCGGGUUGUAAAGCCCUUUUGUUGGGAAAGAAAAGCAGCCAGUUAAUACCUGGUUGUUCUGACGGUACCCAAAGAAUAAGCACCGGCUAACUUCGUGCCAGCCGCCGCGGUAA